GGAAUCUUCCGCAAUGGACGAAAGUCUGACGGAGCAACGCCGCGUGAGCGAUGAAGGCCUUCGGGUCGUAAAGCUCUGUUGUUAGGGAAGAACAAGUAUCGGAGUAACUGCCGGUACCUUGACGGUACCUAACCAGAAAGCCACGGCUAACUACGUGCCAGCAGCCGCGGUAAUACGUAGGUGGCAAGCGUUGUCCGGAAUUAUUGGGCGUAAAGCGCGCGCAGGCGGUCCUUUAAGUCUGAUGUGAAAGCCCACGGCUCAACCGUGGAGGGUCAUUGGAAACUGGGGGACUUGAGUACAGAAGAGGAAAGCGGAAUUCCACGUGUAGCGGUGAAAUGCGUAGAGAUGUGGAGGAACACCAGUGGCGAAGGCGGCUUUCUGGUCUGUAACUGACGCUGAGGCGCGAAAGCGUGGGGAGCAAACA
RNAcentral lists this ribosomal RNA (424 nucleotides) under uncultured Bacillus sp. RNAcentral describes it as "bacterial SSU rRNA". It matches the Rfam family "Bacterial small subunit ribosomal RNA", at positions 358 to 774 of the family's 1533-position model. Lineage: Bacteria; Bacillati; Bacillota; Bacilli; Caryophanales; Bacillaceae. The record is from RNAcentral.